CCUACGGGCGGCAGCAGUGAGGAAUAUUGGUCAAUGGGCGCAAGCCUGAACCAGCCAAGUCGCGUGAAGGAUGACUGCCCUACGGGUUGUAAACUUCUUUUAUAAAGGAAUAAAGUGAGGCACGUGUGCCCUUUUGUAUGUACUUUAUGAAUAAGGAUCGGCUAACUCCGUGCCAGAGGCCGCGGUAAUACGGAGGAUCCGGGCGUUAUCCGGAUUUAUUGGGUUGAAAGGGCGCGUAGAUGGGUUGUUAAGUCAGUUGUGAAAGUUUGCGGCUCAACCGUAAAAUUGCAAUUGAUACUGGAAGCCUGGAGUACAGUUGAGGUAGGCGGAAUUCGUGGUGUAGCGGUGAAAUGCUUAGAUAUCACGAAGAACUCCGAUUGCGAAGGCAGCUUACUAAACUGCCACUGACAUUGAUGCUCGAAAGUGUGGGUAUCAAACAGGAUUAGAUACCCGGGUAGUC
This 460-nucleotide ribosomal RNA is filed under the name uncultured bacterium. RNAcentral describes it as "partial 16S ribosomal RNA". It matches the Rfam family "Bacterial small subunit ribosomal RNA", at positions 338 to 795 of the family's 1533-position model. The record is from RNAcentral.